Long non-coding RNA from Sinocyclocheilus anshuiensis, 1555 nucleotides. RefSeq lists it as uncharacterized. The transcript has 2 exons. The record is from RefSeq and is a predicted model, not a curated record. NCBI's taxonomy places the organism in Eukaryota, Metazoa, Chordata, Actinopteri, Cypriniformes, Cyprinidae.
AGAGGAGGGAUAAACGUUUCCAUGGAUGAUCAGGUUGUGAAUGCAUCAGUUGUGUCACUAAGGUCUGGUUAAUAAUCUUGCACUGUGGUGUGUGACGUUAUCACUAUUUCAAUGCUAUUCAAAUGCAACAACAACUCACUUGUAUUUGCAGGACAAGCAACAAAGUAACAUCUGUUCAAUUUAUUUAAUGCAAACCAGAGCACAGACUUUCCAUUCAAACAAUGUUCAAUAUUUGACAAUUCUAGGUCUUUAAAAACAAACAGACCUGUUUGACAUCAGAUGAAAAUAGAGUCUCUUUGUCUCUGAGAAAAUGUUACUGCAAGACAAAAUUACAAUAACUUCGAAAUUGAAACAAAAUGAAAUCAAUCAUACAAAAAGCAGUCAUUUGGUUUCUGUUGCGAGUAUAUGCUUUAAAACAUUUCAGAUGAGAUGACCAGCUGAACCCAAAAAGAUGCCAUUAAAGCACUACAGAUAUAUAUACUGAUCCACUUCCUUGAGGGCAAGCUGAACAGUGCGUUACAACGAUGUGCAGAAAAUUAAUCACUAUGUCAUCGUCAUUCAGAGGUGUCCUCCAGAGAUGUCCAACACCACAAAAAUCACACAAGAUACUUAAGGACUGUAACAUAGAUUGUGUUAAUGUUAAGACUCAUGUUUUGUUGCAUUAUUGUUCAAUGCUAGUUCAAUAAUGUGAAAUUAAAAGACAGAAAUUUCAGUCAAAGCGAAAGUGUGUUUCUUGAUUUCAUUUGUUAUCUUAUAAAAAAAAAAAUUGUGUGAGCUUGAGAUUCUGGCAUCAACUUAGCAUGAAUUCAGGACAGGUAUAGUAAAUGCAUUUGUGAAUUACAUUUCAUCUUAAGGUGAUUUAAAAUACAGUAGUUUGCAAUGCAUUAAAUCUGAAUAGCCACAUCCUUUAGAAUUACAUAAUGUUGUUCAUCAGUGUUUAUCAUCUGGGUCUUCAUCUUAGUUAAGACUGCAUUUCAUGAAACAAAAUAUAAAGCAAAAACAAUUUGCAAAUAAAACACUGUUUUCAGACCAUUUGUUCAAGAGAAAUAAAAAUAAUACAAAAUGGAAACUGUAGCCAAUAGAAGCCACUCCUUUAUUAAAUGUAAUACAUUUCUUGUGGUUGAGUGCACAGAUAAAACACUCUUACAAACUUCAUAUGCUAGCAAUCGCCUACAAUGUAAAAUUUCAGAAUGGCCAGAGAAACAUGUUUUUUUCCUUCUCUAAGCAAAUUAUUCAGUCGUAUGAUUUCGAGGCAAAGACAUGUCUUUUGAAUGCACAUCUAACAAUUUAAUCUGCAAAUGUAUUUCCAUCAUAGUUUGUGCGCAUGUGUUCUAAAAAAAUUUAAAAAAAUCAUCCACCUCAAGCGAAGUGUAUACAUUUAUUAAGCACAUUAUGCGAAUUUUAUUCACAUAAUGGUUUUUCCAUCCAGAAUUUUUCAUGCAAAUUUUGGGAUAUGGCAUAAAAAUGCUGGUUGAUGGAAACCCUGGAAGAAUCUCAUGAUGUUGCUUAACAGCUGUUUAACAUAAGUGUAAUUUGACAACACUGUCAUCAAAAA